This 102-nucleotide non-coding RNA is filed under the name Lysinibacillus sphaericus. Its description in RNAcentral is "Lysinibacillus sp. Guanine sequence". It matches the Rfam family "Purine riboswitch aptamer". Rfam says of the family: Riboswitches are metabolite binding domains within certain messenger RNAs that serve as precision sensors for their corresponding targets. Allosteric rearrangement of mRNA structure is mediated by ligand binding, and this results in modulation of gene expression. A class of riboswitches that selectively recognises guanine and becomes saturated at concentrations as low as 5 nM. The record is from RNAcentral. Lineage: Bacteria; Bacillati; Bacillota; Bacilli; Caryophanales; Bacillaceae.
AAUGUAAAUUAAAUACGUCGUCGUAUAAUGUCGGGAAUAAGGCCCGUGAGUUUCUACCAAGUUACCGUAAAUAACUUGACUACGAUUUGGGUUUAUCUAUGU